This 294-nucleotide ribosomal RNA is filed under the name uncultured bacterium. Its description in RNAcentral is "partial 16S ribosomal RNA". It matches the Rfam family "Bacterial small subunit ribosomal RNA", at positions 775 to 1067 of the family's 1533-position model. The record is from RNAcentral.
GGAUUAGAUACCCUGGUAGUCCACGCUGUAAACGAUGGGUACUAGAUGUCCGGGGAAUCGACCCCUUGGGUGUCGCAGCUAACGCAUUAAGUACCCCGCCUGGGGAGUACGGUCGCAAGACUAAAACUCAAAGGAAUUGACGGGGGCCCGCACAAGCGGUGGAACAUGUGGUUUAAUUCGACGCAACGCGAAGAACCUUACCUGGAUUUGACAUCCCGUGCAAUCUUGUGAAAGCAAGAGUUUUCUUCGGAAACACGGUGACAGGUGCUGCAUGGCUGUCGUCAGCUCGUGCCG